GGGAGGGUGGCCGAGCGGUCUAAGGCGCUACGUUAAGGCCGUAGUCUCGAAAGGGGCGCGAGUUCGAAUCUCGCCCCUCUCA
This 82-nucleotide transfer RNA is filed under the name Podospora anserina S mat+. RNAcentral describes it as "tRNA-Leu (AAG) (tRNA-Leu-AAG-5-1)". It matches the Rfam family "tRNA". Rfam says of the family: Transfer RNA (tRNA) molecules are approximately 80 nucleotides in length. Their secondary structure includes four short double-helical elements and three loops (D, anti-codon, and T loops). Further hydrogen bonds mediate the characteristic L-shaped molecular structure. tRNAs have two regions of fundamental functional importance: the anti-codon, which is responsible for specific mRNA codon recognition, and the 3' end, to which the tRNAs corresponding amino acid is attached (by aminoacyl-tRNA synthetases). tRNAs cope with the degeneracy of the genetic code in two manners: having more than one tRNA (with a specific anti-codon) for a particular amino acid; and 'wobble' base-pairing, i.e. permitting non-standard base-pairing at the 3rd anti-codon position. The record is from RNAcentral. Lineage: Eukaryota; Fungi; Ascomycota; Sordariomycetes; Sordariales; Podosporaceae.